This 254-nucleotide ribosomal RNA is filed under the name uncultured bacterium. RNAcentral's name for it is "partial 16S ribosomal RNA". It matches the Rfam family "Bacterial small subunit ribosomal RNA", at positions 524 to 777 of the family's 1533-position model. The record is from RNAcentral.
UACGGGAGGGCUAGCGUUGUCCGGAAUCACUGGGCGUAAAGGGCGCGUAGGUGGUUUGAUAAGGGUGUGGUGAAAGUCCGGGGCUCAACCCCGGAUCUGCCGUGCCGACUGUCAAACUCGAGGACUGUAGAGGCAGACGGAAUUCCGGGUGUAGCGGUGGAAUGCGUAGAGAUCCGGAGGAAGACCGGUGGCGAAGGCGGUCUGCUGGGCAGUUUCUGACACUGAGGCGCGACAGCGUGGGGGAGCAAACAGGG